GGGAUACCGACAGUAGCGUGCCGAGAGGUCUAAGCCGCUGGUUUAAGGCACCAGUCUCUCCGGAGGCGUGGGUUCGAAUCCCACCUCUCCCA
Trichonephila clavipes is the source of this 92-nucleotide non-coding RNA. NCBI's taxonomy places the organism in Eukaryota, Metazoa, Arthropoda, Arachnida, Araneae, Nephilidae. The record is from the annotation of a GenBank genome assembly.